This 475-nucleotide ribosomal RNA is filed under the name unidentified nematode Sourhope farm. Its description in RNAcentral is "SSU rRNA". It matches the Rfam family "Eukaryotic small subunit ribosomal RNA", at positions 58 to 529 of the family's 1831-position model. Lineage: Eukaryota; Metazoa; Nematoda. The record is from RNAcentral.
UCUAAGUAUAACCUGCCAGACAGGGAAACUGCGUACGGCUCAUUACACCAGCCUUAAUUUACUUGACCUUGACAACCUACUUGGAUAACUGUGGUAAUUCUAGAGCUAAUACAUGCACCAAAGCUCCGAUCCUCGCGGAGAGGAGCGCAUUUGUUCGCCACAAAACCAAGCCCCCAUCUGGGCGUCCAGUGCUGAACCAGAACAACUCAGCUGAUCGCACGGUCUUGUACCGGCGACGUGUCUUUCAAGUGUCUGCCUUAUCAACUUUCGAUGGUAGUGUACCUGACUACCAUGGUUGUGACGGGUAACGGAGGAUAAGGGUUCGACUCCGGAGAAGGGGCCUGAGAAAUGGCCACUACGUCUAAGGAUGGCAGCAGGCGCGCAAAUUACCCACUCUCAACGCGAGGAGGUACUGACGAGAAAUAACGAGACCGUUCUCAUACGAGGCCGGUUAUUGGAAUGGGUACAAUUUAAA